GUCUUUAUGUAUGAAAUAUAAAGUCUGGCCUGCCCACUGAUUUUUUUAAAGGGCCGCGGUAAAUUGACCGUGCGAAGGUAGCAUAAUCAAUAGUCUUUUAAUUGGAGGCUGGAAUGAAUGGUCGGACGGGGAUAGUCUGUCUUGUUUUUAAUAAUUGAACUUUACUUUUAAGUGAAAAGGCUUAAAUAUUUAAGUGGGACGAUAAGACCCUAUAAAACUUUAUGUGUAAAAUUUGUAUGUAAAGUAUUUAUUAACAUUAAUAAGUUUUAUUACAUUGUGUUGGGGCGACAGAGAUAUAAUAAUAUAACUGUCUUUAAGAAGAAAUAACAUAAUUAUUUUUAAAUUGAUCCUUAAUUUAGGAUUAAAAGUUUAAGUUACUUUAGGGAUAACAGCGUAAUUUUUUCUGAGAGUUCUUUUCGAAGAAAGUAGUUGCGACCUCGAUGUUGAAUUAAGAUGUUAUCAAGGUGCAGAAGCUUUGAUUGUAGGUCUGUUCGACCUUUAAAAUCUUACAUGAUUUGAGUUCAAACCGGUGUGAG
This 536-nucleotide ribosomal RNA is filed under the name Lucaya bigelowi. Its description in RNAcentral is "partial 16S ribosomal RNA". It matches the Rfam family "Bacterial large subunit ribosomal RNA", at positions 1819 to 2625 of the family's 2925-position model. Lineage: Eukaryota; Metazoa; Arthropoda; Malacostraca; Decapoda; Disciadidae. The record is from RNAcentral.